ACACGUAGGGGCCUGACGUUGUUCGGAAUCAUUGGGCGUAAAGGGCGCGCAGGCGGCCGUCCAAGUCCGGUGUUAAAUGGUCGGGCUCAACCCGAUCAUGCGCUGGAAACUGGGCGGCUGGAGUCCCGGAGGGGAUGCCGGAAUUCCAGGUGUAGGGGUGAAAUCUGUAGAUAUCUGGAAGAACACCGAUGGCGAAGGCAGGCAUCUGGCCGGAGACUGACGCUGAGGCGCGAAGGCGCGGGGAGCGAACAGGUUUAGAUACCCUGGUAGUCCGCGCAGUAAACGAUGCGCACCAGGUGUCGGGCGGCAGCGCCCGGUACCGGAGCAAACGCGAUGAGUGCGCCGCCUGGGGAGUAUGCCCGCAAGGGCGAAACUCAAAUGAAUUGACGGGG
This 392-nucleotide ribosomal RNA is filed under the name uncultured bacterium. RNAcentral's name for it is "partial 16S ribosomal RNA". It matches the Rfam family "Bacterial small subunit ribosomal RNA", at positions 523 to 918 of the family's 1533-position model. The record is from RNAcentral.